Molecule: ribosomal RNA, 356 nt
Filed under: uncultured Glomeraceae
Lineage: Eukaryota; Fungi; Glomeromycota; Glomeromycetes; Glomerales; Glomeraceae
Description: SSU rRNA
Rfam family: Eukaryotic small subunit ribosomal RNA
Source: RNAcentral
AGCAGCCGCGGUAAUUCCAGCUCCAAUAGCGUAUAUUAAAGUUGUUGCAGUUAAAAAGCUCGUAGUUGAAUUUCGGGGUCAGUAGGCUGGUCGUGCCCCCGGUACGUACUGGUCUAACUGAUUCCUCCUUCCUGAAGAACCGUAAUGCCAUUAAUUUGGUGUUGCGGGGAAACAGGACUGUUACUUUGAAAAAAUUAGAGUGUUUAAAGCAAGCUAACGCUUGAAUACAUUAGCAUGGAAUAAUGAAAUAGGACGAUCGAUCCUAUUUUGUUGGUUUCUAGGAUUGACGUAAUGAUUAAUAGGGAUAGUUGGGGGCAUUAGUAUUCAAUUGUCAGAGGUGAAAUUCUUGGAUGUAU